GUGGGGAAUAUUGGACAAUGGGCGAAAGCCUGAUCCAGCCAUGCCGCGUGUGUGAAGAAGGUCUUCGGAUUGUAAAGCACUUUAAGUUGGGAGGAAGGGCAGUAAGUUAAUACCUUGCUGUUUUGACGUUACCGACAGAAUAAGCACCGGCUAACUUCGUGCCAGCAGCCGCGGUAAUACGAAGGGUGCAAGCGUUAAUCGGAAUUACUGGGCGUAAAGCGCGCGUAGGUGGUUUUGUGAGUUGGAGGUGAAAUCCCCGGGCUCAACCUGGGAACUGCCUCCAAAACUGCAUGACUAGAGUACGGUAGAGGGUAGUGGAAUUUCCUGUGUAGCAGUGAAAUGCGUAGAUAUAGGAAGGAACACCAGUGGCGAAGGCGACUACCUGGACUGAUACUGACACUGAGGUGCGAAAGCGUGGGGAGCAAACAGGAUUAGAUACCCGGGUAGUCC
This 450-nucleotide ribosomal RNA is filed under the name uncultured bacterium. RNAcentral's name for it is "partial 16S ribosomal RNA". It matches the Rfam family "Bacterial small subunit ribosomal RNA", at positions 354 to 796 of the family's 1533-position model. The record is from RNAcentral.